UAUCAACUACAGUCACUGCACUUUGCGGCUUUUCUUGGCUAAGACUGUUAAUAAUCAAUUUUAUAAUUAGUCAUAUAAUCAACGAGUCUGCUCUGCUUGUUUUUUGUUAAAAGUUUCUCGGAUUAUUAUAGUGAGUGGUGCUUUUUGUGUGUAUCCUUUUGGAUAAAGAAAGACAGCGGAAAGACAGAGAGAGAGAGAGAGAGCAGCAUUGGAAAGGCAUGCAUUUUGGCUACAGAAUGACAGAGACAUGGAAACCAAAAACAAGGCAUACGAAGGGCAGUUGAAAGUCUAACCAGGACAGAAAGGCAUGAAUUUCGGCUACAGAGGCAUGAAGUUCAAAACAAGAUAACAGAAUGACAGAGACACGAAGAAAGAAGGCAUACGAAGGGUAAGUUGCUAGAUUUUUCUGCAUUUCAGAUCGCGUCGUUUGUACCGAUUCAAUACACAGUUAAAUAUGCUGGCUUGAUAAGGUACCCGUGUCGUGUAGGGGUCUAUCUUAAACGAUUACCUAAGGGUAAUCAUUGGAUUUUUCCUUGCCAACGAAAAAAGGUUUCAGCCACACGCGAAAAACUUAAAUCCGCCCGUGAACGCGAAAGGCCUUCGGGCUAUCGAAACGAUAAAAAUGGCUGUCUUGUGGUUAGGGCAAAUUCAAAAUAUAAUUGUUCGGUACCAUACUCUUAGCGCAAUUCAAACAUCUCGACGGCAGUGUUUCAAACUAAACAGAUCCGUUGCG
Long non-coding RNA from Anoplophora glabripennis (Asian longhorned beetle), 733 nucleotides. RefSeq lists it as uncharacterized. NCBI's taxonomy places the organism in Eukaryota, Metazoa, Arthropoda, Insecta, Coleoptera, Cerambycidae. The transcript is spliced from 3 exons. The record is from RefSeq and is a predicted model, not a curated record.